This 252-nucleotide ribosomal RNA is filed under the name uncultured bacterium. Its description in RNAcentral is "partial 16S ribosomal RNA". It matches the Rfam family "Bacterial small subunit ribosomal RNA", at positions 524 to 775 of the family's 1533-position model. The record is from RNAcentral.
UACGGAGGGUGCAAGCGUUAAUCGGAAUUACUGGGCGUAAAGCGCACGCAGGCGGUUGGAUAAGUUAGAUGUGAAAGCCCCGGGCUCAACCUGGGAAUUGCAUUUAAAACUGUCCAGCUAGAGUCUUGUAGAGGGGGGUAGAAUUCCAGGUGUAGCGGUGAAAUGCGUAGAGAUCUGGAGGAAUACCGGUGGCGAAGGCGGCCCCCUGGACAAAGACUGACGCUCAGGUGCGAAAGCGUGGGGAGCAACCAG